Molecule: non-coding RNA, 740 nt
Organism: Xyrichtys novacula (pearly razorfish)
Lineage: Eukaryota; Metazoa; Chordata; Actinopteri; Labriformes; Labridae
Source: the annotation of a GenBank genome assembly
GUGCUGGACGAUAAUUCGAUAACAAUAUAUAUCGAUCGAUAGACGUGUGGUGCGAUAGAAAAAAAACGGGUCGAUAAAAAGUUCGAUAGAAAAACACAGUUUCCCUUUCUUUUUCAUCAUAGCCUAUCAUGUAGCUUUUACUACAGUCAUUACUUCCUCCCAACCAAUCACAAACGCAGACCCAGGUACGCUACGGCACCAAGCCCAGCCCCUAUCAAACCACAACAGACAGCACGUGUAGUAGAAAAAAUGAUACAGCAAGGAGAAGCGGAGGACAUUGUCCCGAAAAAAGGUUUUAGUAGUUCACCAGCAUGGCAAUGUUUUGUUUUUUAGAAGUCUGACAAAAAGCGACCAGCAGUCGUUUGCAAAAUUUGCAGAGAAUUAGUAAAAACCAAGUCUGGUAACACAACCAACUUGUUUUACCAUCUAAACCGAUCGCACCCGCAGGAGUACGAGCUGUGUCGGCCGCGCCGCGGCUCCACGUCAUCGUCGGAGGAAUCCUCUGGAACCGCUGCCAGCACCAGCACAAAGCAUGUGAAACAGACCAAACUGGACUUCGUUUCUUGCCAAAAUACGACAAAGCGUCCGAGCGGCAUAAGGACAUCACCCAUGCAGUAACAUGCUCCAUAACGAGGGACAUACUGCCAAUAACUACCGUUGAAAAGCAUGGCUUCGACCAGCUUCUAGCCACUCUCGACCCGCGAUAUGAAGUGCCCGGCCGCAAGUAUUUCUCAAACACA